AGAGUUUGAUCCUGGCUCAGGACGAACGCUGGCGGCGCGCUUAACACAUGCAAGUCGUACGGGGCUCCUUCGGGGGUUCAGUGGCGAACGGGUGCGUAACACGUGAGCAAUCUGCCCUUGUGCGGGGGAUAACCAGAGGAAACUCUGGCUAAUACCGCAUGAAAUCCUUUGGCUGAUGGCCGUUGGAUCAAAGCUGCUGUAAGGCAGUGCGCAGGGAGGAGCUCGCGGCGUAUCAGCUAGUUGGUGAGGUAACGGCUCACCAAGGCUAUGACGCGUAGGGGGUCUGAGAGGAUGGCCCCCCACAUUGGGACUGAGAUACGGCCCAGACUCCUACGGGAGGCAGCAGUGGGGAAUCUUGCGCAAUGGCCGAAAGGCUGACGCAGCGACGCCGCGUGCGGGAGGACGCUUUUCGGAGUGUAAACCGCUGUCGGGUGGGACGAAGGUCCAGGGCAGGAAAUGGCCUUGGGAUGACGGUACCGCCAAAGGAAGCACCGGCUAACUCCGUGCCAGCAGCCGCGGUAAUACGGAGGGUGCGAGCGUUGUUCGGAAUUAUUGGGCGUAAAGCGCACGUAGGCGGCUUUGUAAGUCUCACUGUGAAAGCCCGGGGCUCAACCCCGGGACUGCAGGGGAUACUGCGAGGCUAGAGACAAGUAGAGGUUGGUAGAAUUCCGGGUGUAGCGGUGGAAUGCGUAGAGAUCCGGAGGAAUACCAGAGGCGAAGGCGGCCAACUGGACUUGUUCUGACGCUGAGGUGCGAAAGCGUGGGGAGCGAACAGGAUUAGAUACCCUAGUAGUCC
This 796-nucleotide ribosomal RNA is filed under the name uncultured bacterium. RNAcentral's name for it is "bacterial SSU rRNA". It matches the Rfam family "Bacterial small subunit ribosomal RNA", at positions 8 to 796 of the family's 1533-position model. The record is from RNAcentral.